RNAcentral lists this long non-coding RNA (271 nucleotides) under Hordeum vulgare. RNAcentral's name for it is "long non-coding RNA (HVUL_LNC021659)". Lineage: Eukaryota; Viridiplantae; Streptophyta; Magnoliopsida; Poales; Poaceae. The record is from RNAcentral.
CGCAGAGGGAGGGGCUUGCCCCGAGGAGCAGCGACCCGACGAGUCCGUCAGUUGGGACCCUGGUCGGCGCCGACGGAUCCCUCCAUCAUUGUCGCGGUAUGAGGAGCGGGUCUGGCCAGAGGGAAGGAAGCACGGUCACGAGGGGAGGAGGAUGGUAGCGCGACGACGGCUGCAGGGCCCGCUGGGUAGCGGCGGCUAGGGUUCGUGUGAGGGGAUCGGGGAAGAGAUGAGAGUGAGUGGGUGCGGCUAGGGUGGGGGCGCGAGUGCGGGC